Molecule: long non-coding RNA, 433 nt
Organism: Zonotrichia albicollis (white-throated sparrow)
Lineage: Eukaryota; Metazoa; Chordata; Aves; Passeriformes; Passerellidae
Source: Ensembl
AAGGUCAGAACUGAAAUGAGAGUAUUUUGUUUUGUAUAGGUUGAUACCAGCUCCUAGAAGUGUCACUUAAUUGGCCACUGUUGAUGGUAUGGAUAAUGAAUCAAUGGCAUUGCUACAACAGUGGAGAGCAGCAGGUCCAUUACAUGGUGGAUCCCGCAAAAGUCCUUCUGUAUAAAACAAGCAAAUGAAAUGCAGACUUCUGCUGUUGCACCAUAUGGGUACCCUUAUAAUGUAACAGAAAAUAUUUUGACAGUCACAGAUUACUUCCAUUGGAAAAGCAGCGCUUGAUCCAAGCUAAGACUUUAGCUCAGAACUAAACUCCUCUAGAUAGGAAGAAACUAAGCCAAAUGUAAAGGACAGCAGCAAAAUUCAGUAAAUUACACAAGGUAAGAAUUAAAGGAAUUGUUAUAUUUUUAUGAUUUUGUUUCUUAAU